GAGCCAAGUGGCAUGGAAGAGCUGAAAACAGAAACUUUGCAGCCCUGCUGCCAAAGCUCCUAAUUACACUCUAGGAUCCACGUAGUCGCUCCUGUUUAUGAAGUGUUUCUUAUGUGUCUGGCGUUUUCACGGAGGUUAUUUUACUUAAUUCCAUCUUCUACCCAGAGCUCACUCCCCCAGGGUCCAUCUUCAAGCCCUGCUGAGUGUUCUCAUUCUGCAAGCAACUACAAACUACAGCUCGUGGGANAGAAUUAAAAAAAAAAAAAAAAAAAAAAAAAAAAAAAAAAAAAAAAUCAUUGGAAACCAAAUUUAAAGUGCAGCACGGAGUUUAUGGGCAGAAACUGCAGAUCGCACAAACAAAACAUGACCGUGAUGAAGAUUUUCUGGAUAACUGAUUUAAUGCAGAUUUCCUCCUUGUUCC
This 421-nucleotide long non-coding RNA is filed under the name Vulpes vulpes (red fox). RNAcentral describes it as "lncRNA (ENSVVUG00000026287.1)". The record is from RNAcentral. Lineage: Eukaryota; Metazoa; Chordata; Mammalia; Carnivora; Canidae.